UCCUGAGCUUGUAACCUGCACAGGAGC
RNAcentral lists this non-coding RNA (27 nucleotides) under Mus musculus (house mouse). The record is from RNAcentral. Lineage: Eukaryota; Metazoa; Chordata; Mammalia; Rodentia; Muridae.